UGCUAAGAGCUUUAAAUAUGCACCACCACAGUUCAGACCCUCUUCGGGGUUAACCUCAUAUUGAACUACCAAAUCCUUUUCUGGUUCAUUUAUGGGUUCAUCAAAUUCAUAAGAAAUAGCAUGAUGAGCGGCUUCGUCUUUCAUAACGAGACCGGCUUCACCCUUAAGGGCACCGGGACCAGAACUUUCCUCAACAGUCCAUUCACCUACAUAGCUCAUUUCUUCAAUACCAUUUACAAAUCGUUUAGCAUGUGAAGGAAUCCAACGUUCAGACCAUGCACCUUGAAACUGCUCAACAAGAGGCGCUUUCACUUCAGUUGGGUUAAAAACCAAAGGUUCUUGUUCGGAUUCAGGAUCAGCAAGUGAUCCCCGAACAUAUAAAGAGCACAAAAGCGCUAGAAAAGAUACCUUUCCGUACUUCAUUUCCACGUGUUGGGUGGUGUAGUUGAUAACUACGGUGCGCGGUUUUGCGUGUGUUUUGGUAGUACUACGGCUUUGAUCGAUGAGAUGGAUCAGCAAACAUAAUCGAAAGAAUAAUGGAGAAGGUUCCGGAACGAAAAACAAAUCGCAUUAAACUUAGAUGAUUAGAUUUGAAAGACCUAUCUGGUAAGUUGUAUUUGCAUUAGAUCUUUAUAUUUAUUUUACUUCUUACUUUGUGAAUUACGGAGCGCAAUGUCUUGCUAUAAUGAAGGUUGCAGUAACAUGUUUACAGUAAACGUUUGCAUUUUAAUAUACUAAGUAUUUGGCUUUAAUUGUUCUCCCCAUUAAGUAAAAAAAAAGAGUAAUGCAAACAAUGAGAUAAAAUAAAAGUUUACAAACUAUCACUAGUCAUAAAGCCUUGAAAGCGCUAUACUCGUAGUCUUUGAAUCUUCAAUCAUUAGAAUAUGCUUUAGUCUGACGCAUAACAACUGUCAGGUAUCAAACAAGUUUUUUUAUUCUCGUACACCAUUAGCUCAAAAUUGGGACAAUCACAAUAUUUA
Non-coding RNA from Schizosaccharomyces pombe (fission yeast), 980 nucleotides. NCBI's taxonomy places the organism in Eukaryota, Fungi, Ascomycota, Schizosaccharomycetes, Schizosaccharomycetales, Schizosaccharomycetaceae. The record is from the annotation of a GenBank genome assembly.